Molecule: ribosomal RNA, 844 nt
Filed under: uncultured bacterium
Lineage: Bacteria
Description: bacterial SSU rRNA
Rfam family: Bacterial small subunit ribosomal RNA
Source: RNAcentral
ACGCUGGCGGCGUGCUUAACACAUGCAAGUCGAACGGAGAGAGAUGGAAGCUUGCUUCUAUCGAUCUUAGUGGCGAACGGGUGAGUAACGCGUAACCAACCUGCCCUUCAGAGGGGGAUAACAACGGGAAACCGUUGCUAAUACCGCGUACGAAUGAACUUCGGCAUCGAAGCUCAUUGAAAGGUGGCCUCUAUUUAUAAGCUAUCGCUGAAGGAGGGGGUUGCGUCUGAUUAGCUAGUUGGAGGGGUAACGGCCCACCAAGGCAAUGAUCAGUAGCCGGUCUGAGAGGAUGAACGGCCACAUUGGGACUGAGACACGGCCCAAACUCCUACGGGAGGCAGCAGUGGGGAAUCUUCCGCAAUGGACGAAAGUCUGACGGAGCAACGCCGCGUGAGUGAUGACGGCCUUCGGGUUGUAAAGCUCUGUUAAUCGGGACGAAUGGUCCUUGUGUGAAUAAUGCAAGGAUUUGACGGUACCGGAAUAGAAAGCCACGGCUAACUACGUGCCAGCAGCCGCGGUAAUACGUAGGUGGCAAGCGUUGUCCGGAAUUAUUGGGCGUAAAGCGCGCGCAGGCGGUUUCAUAAGUCUGUCUUAAAAGUGCGGGGCUUAACCCCGUGAGGGGAUGGAAACUAUGGAACUGGAGUAUCGGAGAGGAAAGCGGAAUUCCUAGUGUAGCGGUGAAAUGCGAAGAUAUUAGGAAGAACACCAGUGGCGAAGGCGGCUUUCUGGACGACAACUGACGCUGAGGCGCGAAAGCCAGGGGAGCGAACGGGAUUAGAUACCCCGGUAGUCCUGGCCGUAAACGAUGGGUACUAGGUGUAGGAGGUAUCGACCCCUUCUGUGC